Molecule: long non-coding RNA, 1671 nt
Filed under: Drosophila guanche
Lineage: Eukaryota; Metazoa; Arthropoda; Insecta; Diptera; Drosophilidae
Source: RNAcentral
GCUCCAUCCCAGUGGCGUUUGGCGAACUCGACAAUUUUCGUUACGAGCGAGCAUCUUGCCAAAAUGAGAAAACUUUUGCCAACACCAAACGUGUCGACGUCCCAACCCGUCGACGGAGGUGGAGCUGACAAAGCGGAGGAGCAGACGCAGCCCGCCACACCCAUAAAGCUCCCCGGGCACGGGCCACAACGUCACCAGAAGUUGCCAAAAGAAAAUCUGUUUCGAGUGGCUGCAAUCCCCGUGGACGUUGUAGGUGUUGUCUCCAGCUCCUGGGAGAGCCUUCAGUCCCAUUAUUUGCACAGCAGUUGCAACGAGGCAGCAAAACAGGAUACGAUAAGGACGAUGGAACCCGCUCCCACAAGCGAACCACCCCCACAUCGAGGCAGCUGAUGUAUAGGCACUUAUUCCGUGCCCUGGCCGGGCUGUGACUUUUCUUUUAUUUGUGCAUGAGGCAACGAUUCGGAAGAAUGGCUUUGUUCCCAUUCCGUAUUGCCUGGGCUUGUGCUCGUGAUUGUGCGACCUCGGCUAGUCCCUACGGCUCCCCUGGCUCUCUGCUUGGAUUGCUCUGACGGCGGGCGUUGCAUUUUGGGUAAGUGACGUUGAACGUUCGGCCACUGGCAGAAAACCGAGUCAGAACGAGACAACUUCUGGGCAACAGAAUGGCCAAAGGAAUAAGUAAAACUUUUGUGUUUCCAUCCGGUUUCUUGCAGUGCACGUAGAGGAAGCUUCGCUUCGUGUGUAAGUGCCUCAAUUUCUGGGAUGUUGACAUCUAUUUCGGCUGGAAGAACACACCUAAGUGUGCUCACGAUGGGAAGCAAACAAACCAAACCAAGCAAUGGAAUGGCCACCCAGAUAAGCCCGGCAAAUACGAAAAUAUGAUUCUAUUAGACUCGGGCUGUUGUGUUUGUUUUCGCUUACAUUAUGAAUAGCACAGCCCGAAACGGAAUACAAAUUGGACAGGACUUGGACAGAGCUGACGCUUGCUUGUGGGUGAAAUCAACUUAAAGUUGCCCGUACUCUUGCCACUUGAGCUGGCUUUCUUUUUAAUUUGGCUGCCAAAAGUGUUGGCCAAUAUUUUUGGUAAAGUUUUUAUGUCCCCAACAGAUUCCUCCCCAUUCUCGGUGCUACUUUGUCAGUCUGUUUAACGGGAGAUGGGGCGGCUGGCCGUCUAAUGAAAUUCGCCACCUCGCCUCGGCAUCGGCCUCUAGUUUCUUCCAUAUUGCGGAAACUUGGGCUGACAAACUUUGGCUCGCUUAAUUAUUUCCGGUUUGCGCUGUGUGUGGCAGCUGCCAAGGAGAAAACUUUUACUUAUCAAGUCGUUAAGAGCGAGGCACAGAUCCACAAAGAGCACGCUGAGAUGCGAAUUGGAUUUAGGGCCAGGGCCUUAAACUCUGACGGAGCAUGGUCUCUCCCCGGGGCCUUUGUAAAUCAGCGGGCGAAUAGCAAGCCCCGCCUGGCUACCGCACCGUGGCAGCCAUAUCGGAUGUAAAUCGAACACUUAAUGGACUCACCGGCAGCGGAUAGUGCAGCGUAUCCCCGCACAGCCAAUAAUUUUGCAUGCAUUAUGAGCACGAUAUAAGUUACGAACUUUAUUUGUGAAUUAAACGUGAAAUGAAUUAACGUGACUAAAAUAUUUCAUCUUGGCCAGCGGCAAAACUGGCAAGAAGUCGG